This 253-nucleotide ribosomal RNA is filed under the name uncultured prokaryote. RNAcentral describes it as "partial 16S ribosomal RNA". It matches the Rfam family "Bacterial small subunit ribosomal RNA", at positions 525 to 777 of the family's 1533-position model. The record is from RNAcentral.
ACGUAGGGUGCAAGCGUUGUCCGGAAUUAUUGGGCGUAAAGAGCUCGUAGGCGGUUCGUCGCGUCGGCUGUGAAAACCUGAGGCUCAACCUCAGGCCUGCAGUCGAUACGGGCGGACUUGAGUGUUGCAGGGGAGACUGGAAUUCCUGGUGUAGCGGUGAAAUGCGCAGAUAUCAGGAGGAACACCGGUGGCGAAGGCGGGUCUCUGGGCAACUACUGACGCUGAGGAGCGAAAGCGUGGGGAGCGAACAGGA